UACGGAGGGGGCUAGCGUUGUUCGGAAUUACUGGGCGUAAAGCGCACGUAGGCGGCUUUGUAAGUUAGAGGUGAAAGCCUGGAGCUUAACUCCAGAACUGCCGUUAAGACUGCAUCGCUUGAAUCCGGGAGAGGUGAGUGGAAUUCCGGGUGUAGAGGUGAAAUUCGUAGAUAUUCGGAAGAACACCAGUGGCGAAGGCGGCUCACUGGACCGGUAUUGACGCUGAGGUGCGAAAGCGUGGGGAGCAAACAGG
RNAcentral lists this ribosomal RNA (253 nucleotides) under uncultured bacterium. Its description in RNAcentral is "partial 16S ribosomal RNA". It matches the Rfam family "Bacterial small subunit ribosomal RNA", at positions 524 to 776 of the family's 1533-position model. The record is from RNAcentral.